UACGGGGGGGGCAAGCGUUGUUCGGAAUUACUGGGCGUAAAGGGCGCGUAGGCGACCUGCUAAGUCACACGUGAAAUCCCUCGGCUCAACCGGGGAACUGCGUGUGAUACUGGCGGGCCUGAAUUCGGGAGAGGGAUGUGGAAUUCCAGGUGUAGCGGUGAAAUGCGUAGAUAUCUGGAGGAACACCGGUGGCGAAGGCGGCAUCCUGGACCGAGAUUGACGCUGAGGCGCGAAAGCUAGGGUAGCAAACGGG
This 253-nucleotide ribosomal RNA is filed under the name uncultured bacterium. Its description in RNAcentral is "partial 16S ribosomal RNA". It matches the Rfam family "Bacterial small subunit ribosomal RNA", at positions 524 to 776 of the family's 1533-position model. The record is from RNAcentral.